Carlito syrichta (Philippine tarsier) is the source of this 1451-nucleotide RNA transcript. It is a transcript of the gene named palmitoyltransferase ZDHHC6 pseudogene, with no coding region annotated. The transcript has a single exon. Lineage: Eukaryota; Metazoa; Chordata; Mammalia; Primates; Tarsiidae. The record is from RefSeq and is a predicted model, not a curated record.
GAGUUCCAAACCAAGAUACUGGAUUCUCCUAGUUAAGAUAAAGAACUUUGAGUGCUUAACAGUGAAAAUGUCACAAUCUGUAUUAAUAUUUCACAACUUGAAGGCAUGACAGUUAAAGAACACACAUGGACUUGUGGCUCAUGGAAAUGUAUGCACAGAAAAAGGAAACCUAUAAUUAUUUAAAAGUAGGAAGGCAUUCUUCCUCGCCAAAAUGGGUACCUUCUGCUCAGUUAUCAAGUUUGAAAAUCUCCAAGAAUUAAAGAGACUGUGUCACUGGGGUCCCAUCAUAGCCCUUGGUGUUAUAGCAAUAUGUUCUAUAAUGGCCAUGAUUAACUCUGUAUUGUGGUAUUGGCCCUUACAUACAACUGAAGGAAGUGGGAAUUUCAUCAUGCUGAUAAAUUGAACUGUCAUGAUUCUUUAUAAUUACUUCAAUGCCAUGUUUGUGAGUCCUGGCCUUGUCCCCCUGGAGUGGAAACCAGAAAAUUCUCAGGAUACUAUGUAUCUCCAGUAUUGUAAAGUCUGCCAGGCAUACAAGGCACCACGUUCACAUCACUGCAGAAAGUGUAACAGAUGUGUGAUGAAGAUGGACCAUCAUUGUCCUUGGAUCAACAACUGUUGUUACCAAAAUCAUGCUUCGUUUACACUGUUUCUUCUUUUAGCACCACUGGGUUGUAUCCAUGCUGCUUUUAUUUUUGUUAUGACUAUGUACACACAGCUUUAUAACCAGCCCUCCUUUGGGUGGAACACAGUAAGGAUUGAUAUGAAUGCAGCCCAGAGAGAUUCUCUUCCUGUUUUUCCAUUUGGAUUAGCUGCAUUUGCUGUCACCUUGUUUGCCUUGGGAUUAGCUUUAGGAACAACCAUAGCUGUUGGGAUGUUGUUUUUUAUCCAGAUGAAAAUAAUUCUUAGAAACAAAAUUUCUAUUGAAUCAUGGAUUGAAGAGAAGGCUAAAGAUCGAAUUCAAUAUUAUCAACUAGAUGAAGUCUUUGUUUUUCCUUAUGAUAUGGGAAGUAGAUGGAGAAACUUUAAACAGAUAUUUAUGUGGUCAGGGGUCCCUGAAGGGGAUGGACUAGAGUGGCCAAUAAGAGAAGGCUGUCACCAAUACAGCUUAACUAUAGAACAGUUAAAACAAAAAGCAGAUAAGAGAGUCAGAAGUGUUUGCUAUAAAGUAAUAGAAGAUUAUAGUGGUGACUGCUGUCCUUUGAAUAAAGGAAUCAAAACGUUCUUCACAAGUCCCUGUACUGAAGAACCUGAAAUAUAGUUACAAAAAAGGGGAGUUUAUUUUAGCCACAAGAGGUUUACGAUACUGGUUGUAUGGAGACAAAAUUCUUGAUGAUUCCUCUGUAGAAGAUAUUUCGAGAAUAAGAGGAUGGUUCCCUAGAAAUUGUGUGGAAAAGUGUCCCUGCGAUGUUGAAACAGAUCAAGCCCCGGAGGGUAAGAAGAAAAAUAGAUAG